UGGGAUGUAGCUCAGUGGCACAGCACCUGCCUGGCAAGCAGGAGGUCCUGAGUUUGAUCCCCAGUACCAA
This 70-nucleotide transfer RNA is filed under the name Heterocephalus glaber (naked mole-rat). It matches the Rfam family "tRNA". Rfam says of the family: Transfer RNA (tRNA) molecules are approximately 80 nucleotides in length. Lineage: Eukaryota; Metazoa; Chordata; Mammalia; Rodentia; Bathyergidae. The record is from Rfam by way of RNAcentral.